CGUGCAGUGAGGAAUUUUCGUCAAUGGGGGCAACCCUGAACGAGCAACGCCGCGUGCAGGAAGAAGGUCUUCGGAUCGUAAACUGCUUUUCGUGUGGGACGAGUUUGGACGGUACCACAGGAAGAAGCCCCGGCUAACUACGUGCCAGCAGCCGCGGUAAUACGUAGGGGGCGAGCGUUGUCCGGAGUUACUGGGCGUAAAGGGCGUGCAGGCGGUGCGGUAAGUUUGGCGUGACAGUACCCGGCUUAACUGGGUAAGGCCUUCAAAAACUGCCGGACUUGAGGGCCAGAGAGGGACAUAGAAUUCCGGGUGGAGUGGUGAAAUGCGUAGAUAUCCGGAGGAAUACCAAAGGCGAAGGCAGUGUCCUGGCUGGCAUCUGACGCUGAGGCGCGAAAGCUAGGGGAGCGAACAGGAUUAGAUACCCUGGUAGUCCUAGCCGUAAACGAUGACCACUAGAUGUGCGGGGUAUCGACCCCCUGCGUGUCGGAGCAAACGUUUUAAGUGGUCCGCCUGGGGAGUACGGUCGCAAGAUUA
Molecule: ribosomal RNA, 534 nt
Filed under: uncultured bacterium
Lineage: Bacteria
Description: bacterial SSU rRNA
Rfam family: Bacterial small subunit ribosomal RNA
Source: RNAcentral